This 434-nucleotide ribosomal RNA is filed under the name uncultured Lachnospiraceae bacterium. Its description in RNAcentral is "partial 16S ribosomal RNA". It matches the Rfam family "Bacterial small subunit ribosomal RNA", at positions 341 to 792 of the family's 1533-position model. The record is from RNAcentral. Lineage: Bacteria; Bacillati; Bacillota; Clostridia; Lachnospirales; Lachnospiraceae.
ACGGAAGGCAGCAGUGGGGAAUAUUGGACAAUGGGGGAAACCCUGAUCCAGCGACGCCGCGUGAGUGAAGAAGUAUUUCGGUAUGUAAAGCUCUAUCAGCAAGGAAGAAAAUGACGGUACUUGACUAAGUAGCUCCGGCUAAAUACGUGCCAGCAGCCGCGGUAAUACGUAUGGAGCAAGCGUUAUCCGGAUUUACUGGGUGUAAAGGGAGCGUAGACGGCAAAGCAAGUCCGAAGUGAAAUCCCGGGGCUCAACCCCGGAACUGCUUUGGAAACUGUUUAGCUAGAGUGCAGGAGAGGUAAGCGGAAUUCCUAGUGUAGCGGUGAAAUGCGUAGAUAUUAGGAGGAACACCAGUGGCGAAGGCGGCUUACUGGACUGUAACUGACGUUGAGGCUCGAAAGCGUGGGGAGCAAACAGGAUUAGAUACCCUGGUA